RNAcentral lists this ribosomal RNA (459 nucleotides) under uncultured bacterium. RNAcentral describes it as "bacterial SSU rRNA". It matches the Rfam family "Bacterial small subunit ribosomal RNA", at positions 1 to 507 of the family's 1533-position model. The record is from RNAcentral.
CAUGCUAGACGAGUUGAUCAUGGCUCAGAACGAACGCUGGCGGCAGGCUUAACACAUGCAAGUCGAGCGCCCCGCAAGGGGAGCGGCAGACGGGUGAGUAACGCGUGGGAAUCUACCCAUCCCUACGGAACAACUCCGGGAAACUGGAGCUAAUACCGUAUACGCCCUUUGGGGGAAAGAUUUAUCGGGGAUGGAUGAGCCCGCGUUGGAUUAGCUAGUUGGUGGGGUAAUGACCUACCAAGGCAACGAUCCAUAGCUGGUCUGAGAGGAUGAUCAGCCACACUGGGACUGAGACACGGCCCAGACUCCUACGGGAGGCAGCAGUGGGGAAUAUUGGACAAUGGGCGCAAGCCUGAUCCAGCCAUGCCGCGUGAGUGAUGACGGCCCUAGGGUUGUAAAGCUCUUUCACCGGUGAAGAUAAUGACGGUAACCGGAGAAGAAGCCCCGGCUAACUUCGUG